UUAAAAACAGAUAUCUGUAACCUAAUAUCCUUUUGUUGAGUUGAUUUGACUUUAAAAAUGCUCACAGGUUGCUAAGCGGUCUGCUCCACAAACAGAAAAGGAUGCGGACCAAACGUCAGUUUAUUUUAUAACUUUUAAUGAGGAAAGAUGCGGCGGAGAUGGAUGGCAGCCGUCAAUCAUAGCGACUGGCAGCUGACGAUAAUAAUGACGGUCAGCCCUCGGUGUAACCGCGGAUUUACAGCAAACACUUUACAAGCAUAAAAUGGAGACGGUGAGGCAGAGAUGAACCGAGGCAGUUGGAAGGAAAACGACCAGCGGGGACGGAGUGAUGGAGUGGAGGCAGAGCAGCUGAGAUUAAUAAACUACGAGAUGAAUGAGCGACUGCAGGAGUUACUAAACAGAGAAGGCAGGAGGACAAAGAUGGAGGAGCGUGGAGGAAUGAAAUGUUAAAGGAUGAGUGAUGAGACGGAGAACCUCCUACGUGAAAUAAA
Poecilia reticulata (guppy) is the source of this 491-nucleotide non-coding RNA. The record is from RefSeq and is a predicted model, not a curated record. NCBI's taxonomy places the organism in Eukaryota, Metazoa, Chordata, Actinopteri, Cyprinodontiformes, Poeciliidae.